This is a non-coding RNA of Biomphalaria pfeifferi, 251 nucleotides long. Lineage: Eukaryota; Metazoa; Mollusca; Gastropoda; Planorbidae. The record is from the annotation of a GenBank genome assembly.
UUCACAACUCAGGUAUUUAACUUGCAGAAUUCAGGAAUCUAAUUUUUGUAACCAACUUAUUUCAUUUUAAACUGUAUGAGAAUGCAUUGUCUUGGAGCGGUAAUAAAUAAACACACUAAGAAUAUAUAUAUAUACAAAAACCCACCAAGGGGGAAAAAUACAUGACCGGCAAUAUUGUCAGUAGCUGCAGGUAUAAAAAAAAAAGUGUUUCCGGACUAAGUUUCUAGCCAGACAGAAUACAUGUGCAGGUA